CAAAUUUAAAAUUAUGCCAUGAAAGUAGAAAACAUGCAUGAGUUAAACGGCUCUAGAACAAUUUGACCCCUCAUUUAUAUAUAUAAGAAUUUCUCAGCUUGGUUCAUGUAUAGACUUUCUUGGGAGAAAUGUUUCAUAUGUGAUCUUGAUGCUUUCAAGGUAAAAUCAGUAGAACAUCUUUCCAUAUUGAUCAAACUUCAUGCUUUCAAUUUUGAACCCCAAAGCCUUAUAUUGCGAACUUAUUUAGAUGGCGGAAAAACUCAUCCAGUAAUAUAGCUUGUGUGCCUGAAGAUUUUCUUUUGGGAGUACAAAGUAGAAAUUUGAUUUUUAGAUAUGUUGAGAUUAUAAUAGUUCAAACUAUUUAAAAUAGGACAUUCGCCCUACAAGGCGAUUUAUCAUAUUCCAAUGAAGAUGAUUAGAAGAUCAUUUGUUAUGUAGUUGCAAACAUCUUUUUGAGCCUGAAUGGAUGUCCGAACAUUUGGUACAGUGAAAAAAUUGUGUAUGAGGAUUUUCUUUUAUAACCACAAUAUGGAUGUUUGAAUUUUAGCUUCUACAAACCUUUAACAGCUCUGACCUUCCAGAAUAGUUUUCUGUUUGUAAGAAUGAUUUAAAGGCCGUAUUUAUUAUGCAAAUGUUGAGAUCUCUCCAUGCUCCCCACAAACAAUUACUACUUGCCCCCCAUGGGAAUUUGCUCGACAAGGAGAUUCAUGCAUCCAGAUCACAUACAUGCCCUCUGAGAGAAUAAAAAGAGAUAUGGUGAAUCCGCUAUUCAUGCAGCUACGGUGUAUCUACUAUUCAUGCCCUCUGAGUAAAUAAUAUAGAUACGGUGAAUCUGCU
RNAcentral lists this long non-coding RNA (837 nucleotides) under Ananas comosus (pineapple). RNAcentral's name for it is "long non-coding RNA (ACOM_LNC029805)". The record is from RNAcentral. Lineage: Eukaryota; Viridiplantae; Streptophyta; Magnoliopsida; Poales; Bromeliaceae.